GCUCGCAUAGCUCAGCGGUAGAGCACCGUCUUGAUAAGGCGGCGGCCGAUGGUUCGAUCCCAUCUGCGGGCACCA
This 75-nucleotide transfer RNA is filed under the name Pelomonas sp. Root1237. Its description in RNAcentral is "tRNA-Ile". It matches the Rfam family "tRNA". From Rfam's summary of the family: Transfer RNA (tRNA) molecules are approximately 80 nucleotides in length. Their secondary structure includes four short double-helical elements and three loops (D, anti-codon, and T loops). Lineage: Bacteria; Pseudomonadati; Pseudomonadota; Betaproteobacteria; Burkholderiales; Sphaerotilaceae. The record is from RNAcentral.